This 82-nucleotide small RNA is filed under the name Tetranychus urticae (two-spotted spider mite). Its description in RNAcentral is "sRNA tetur06g06501". Lineage: Eukaryota; Metazoa; Arthropoda; Arachnida; Trombidiformes; Tetranychidae. The record is from RNAcentral.
GUACUUCAUCAAUGCUCAAGACCCUAUGACUUGUCUUGUUCUUCGGGACUUGAUGAGACUUAGACUUGAGUUUGAAAGGUAA